GGGUUGUGAGGUUAAGCGACUAAGCGUACACGGUGGAUGCCCUGGCAGUCAGAGGCGAUGAAGGACGUGCUAAUCUGCGAUAAGCGUCGGUAAGGUGAUAUGAACCGUUAUAACCGGCGAUUUCCGAAUGGGGAAACCCAGUGUGUUUCGACACACUAUCAUUAACUGAAUCCAUAGGUUAAUGAGGCGAACCGGGGGAACUGAAACAUCUAAGUACCCCGAGGAAAAGAAAUCAACCGAGAUUCCCCCAGUAGCGGCGAGCGAACGGGGAGCAGCCCAGAGCCUGAAUCAGUGUGUGUGUUAGUGGAAGCGUCUGGAAAGGCGCGCGAUACAGGGUGACAGCCCCGUACACAAAAAUGCACAUGCUGUGAGCUCGAUGAGUAGGGCGGGACACGUGGUAUCCUGUCUGAAUAUGGGGGGACCAUCCUCCAAGGCUAAAUACUCCUGACUGACCGAUAGUGAACCAGUACCGUGAGGGAAAGGCGAAAAGAACCCCGGCGAGGGGAGUGAAAAAGAACCUGAAACCGUGUACGUACAAGCAGUGGGAGCACGCUUAGGCGUGUGACUGCGUACCUUUUGUAUAAUGGGUCAGCGACUUAUAUUCUGUAGCAAGGUUAACCGAAUAGGGGAGCCGAAGGGAAACCGAGUCUUAACUGGGCGUUAAGUUGCAGGGUAUAGACCCGAAACCCGGUGAUCUAGCCAUGGGCAGGUUGAAGGUUGGGUAACACUAACUGGAGGACCGAACCGACUAAUGUUGAAAAAUUAGCGGAUGACUUGUGGCUGGGGGUGAAAGGCCAAUCAAACCGGGAGAUAGCUGGUUCUCCCCGAAAGCUAUUUAGGUAGCGCCUCGUGAAUUCAUCUCCGGGGGUAGAGCACUGUUUCGGCAAGGGGGUCAUCCCGACUUACCAACCCGAUGCAAACUACGAAUACCGGAGAAUGUUAUCACGGGAGACACACGGCGGGUGCUAACGUCCGUCGUGAAGAGGGAAACAACCCAGACCGCCAGCUAAGGUCCCAAAGUCAUGGUUAAGUGGGAAACGAUGUGGGAAGGCCCAGACAGCCAGGAUGUUGGCUUAGAAGCAGCCAUCAUUUAAAGAAAGCGUAAUAGCUCACUGGUCGAGUCGGCCUGCGCGGAAGAUGUAACGGGGCUAAACCAUGCACCGAAGCUGCGGCAGCGACGCUGAUGCGUUGUUGGGUAGGGGAGCGUUCUGUAAGCCUGCGAAGGUGUGCUGUGAGGCAUGCUGGAGGUAUCAGAAGUGCGAAUGCUGACAUAAGUAACGAUAAAGCGGGUGAAAAGCCCGCUCGCCGGAAGACCAAGGGUUCCUGUCCAACGUUAAUCGGGGCAGGGUGAGUCGACCCCUAAGGCGAGGCCGAAAGGCGUAGUCGAUGGGAAACAGGUUAAUAUUCCUGUACUUGGUGUUACUGCGAAGGGGGGACGGAGAAGGCUAUGUUGGCCGGGCGACGGUUGUCCCGGUUUAAGCGUGUAGGCUGGUUUUCCAGGCAAAUCCGGAAAAUCAAGGCUGAGGCGUGAUGACGAGGCACUACGGUGCUGAAGCAACAAAUGCCCUGCUUCCAGGAAAAGCCUCUAAGCAUCAGGUAACAUCAAAUCGUACCCCAAACCGACACAGGUGGUCAGGUAGAGAAUACCAAGGCGCUUGAGAGAACUCGGGUGAAGGAACUAGGCAAAAUGGUGCCGUAACUUCGGGAGAAGGCACGCUGAUAUGUAGGUGAAGUCCCUCGCGGAUGGAGCUGAAAUCAGUCGAAGAUACCAGCUGGCUGCAACUGUUUAUUAAAAACACAGCACUGUGCAAACACGAAAGUGGACGUAUACGGUGUGACGCCUGCCCGGUGCCGGAAGGUUAAUUGAUGGGGUUAGCGCAAGCGAAGCUCUUGAUCGAAGCCCCGGUAAACGGCGGCCGUAACUAUAACGGUCCUAAGGUAGCGAAAUUCCUUGUCGGGUAAGUUCCGACCUGCACGAAUGGCGUAAUGAUGGCCAGGCUGUCUCCACCCGAGACUCAGUGAAAUUGAACUCGCUGUGAAGAUGCAGUGUACCCGCGGCAAGACGGAAAGACCCCGUGAACCUUUACUAUAGCUUGACACUGAACAUUGAGCCUUGAUGUGUAGGAUAGGUGGGAGGCUUUGAAGUGUGGACGCCAGUCUGCAUGGAGCCGACCUUGAAAUACCACCCUUUAAUGUUUGAUGUUCUAACGUGGACCCGUAAUCCGGGUUGCGGACAGUGUCUGGUGGGUAGUUUGACUGGGGCGGUCUCCUCCUAAAGAGUAACGGAGGAGCACGAAGGUUGGCUAAUCCUGGUCGGACAUCAGGAGGUUAGUGCAAUGGCAUAAGCCAGCUUGACUGCGAGCGUGACGGCGCGAGCAGGUGCGAAAGCAGGUCAUAGUGAUCCGGUGGUUCUGAAUGGAAGGGCCAUCGCUCAACGGAUAAAAGGUACUCCGGGGAUAACAGGCUGAUACCGCCCAAGAGUUCAUAUCGACGGCGGUGUUUGGCACCUCGAUGUCGGCUCAUCACAUCCUGGGGCUGAAGUAGGUCCCAAGGGUAUGGCUGUUCGCCAUUUAAAGUGGUACGCGAGCUGGGUUUAGAACGUCGUGAGACAGUUCGGUCCCUAUCUGCCGUGGGCGCUGGAGAACUGAGGGGGGCUGCUCCUAGUACGAGAGGACCGGAGUGGACGCAUCACUGGUGUUCGGGUUGUCAUGCCAAUGGCACUGCCCGGUAGCUAAAUGCGGAAGAGAUAAGUGCUGAAAGCAUCUAAGCACGAAACUUGCCCCGAGAUGAGUUCUCCCUGACUCCUUGAGAGUCCUGAAGGAACGUUGAAGACGACGACGUUGAUAGGCCGGGUGUGUAAGCGCAGCGAUGCGUUGAGCUAACCGGUACUAAUGAACCGUGAGGCUUAACCUUACAACGCCGAAG
RNAcentral lists this ribosomal RNA (2925 nucleotides) under Escherichia coli. RNAcentral describes it as "partial 23S ribosomal RNA". It matches the Rfam family "Bacterial large subunit ribosomal RNA". Lineage: Bacteria; Pseudomonadati; Pseudomonadota; Gammaproteobacteria; Enterobacterales; Enterobacteriaceae. The record is from RNAcentral.